This 643-nucleotide ribosomal RNA is filed under the name uncultured bacterium. RNAcentral's name for it is "bacterial SSU rRNA". It matches the Rfam family "Bacterial small subunit ribosomal RNA", at positions 232 to 885 of the family's 1533-position model. The record is from RNAcentral.
CGCGGCCUAUCAGCUUGUUGGUGGGGUAAUGGCCUACCAAGGCGACGACGGGUAGCCGGCCUGAGAGGGCGACCGGCCACACUGGGACUGAGACACGGCCCAGACUCCUACGGGAGGCAGCAGUGGGGAAUAUUGCACAAUGGGCGAAAGCCUGAUGCAGCGACGCCGCGUGAGGGAUGACGGCCUUCGGGUUGUAAACCUCUUUCAGCAGGGAAGAAGCUUUUGUGACGGUACCUGCAGAAGAAGCACCGGCUAACUACGUGCCAGCAGCCGAGGUAAUACGUAGGGUGCGAGCGUUGUCCGGAAUUAUUGGGCGUAAAGGGCUUGUAGGCGGUUUGUCGCGUCUGCUGUGAAAAUUCAGGGCUUAACCCUGGACGUGCAGUGGGUACGGGCAGACUAGAGUAUGGUAGGGGAGACUGGAAUUCCUGGUGUAGCGGUGGAAUGCGCAGAUAUCAGGAGGAACACCGAUGGCGAAGGCAGGUCUCUGGGCCAUUACUGACGCUGAGAAGCGAAAGCAUGAGGAGCGAACAGGAUUAGAUACCCUGGUAGUCCAUGCCGUAAACGUUGGGCGCUGGGCGUGGGUCUCAUUCCACGAGAUCCGUGUCGCAGCUAACGCAUUAAGCGCCCCGCCUGGGGAGUACGG